RNAcentral lists this ribosomal RNA (460 nucleotides) under uncultured bacterium. Its description in RNAcentral is "partial 16S ribosomal RNA". It matches the Rfam family "Bacterial small subunit ribosomal RNA", at positions 338 to 795 of the family's 1533-position model. The record is from RNAcentral.
CCUACGGGUGGCAGCAGUGAGGAAUAUUGGUCAAUGGACGAGCGUCUGACCCAGCCAAGUAGCGUGAAGGGUGACUGCCCUAUGGGUUGUAAACUUCUUUUAUAAAGGAAUAAAACGCGGCACGUGUGCCUUUUUGCAUGUACUCUAUGAAUACGGAUCGGCUAACUCCGUGCCAGCAGCCGCGGUAAUACGGAGGAUCCGAGCGUUAGACGGAUUUAUUGGGUUUAAAGGGAGCGUAGAUGGUUUGUUAAGUUAGUUGUGAAAGGUUGCGGCUCAACCGUAAAAUUGCAAUUGAUACUGGCAGUCUUGAGUACAGUUGAGGUAAGCGGAAUUCGUGGUGUAGCGGUGAAAUGCUUAGAUAUCACGAAGAACCCCGAUUGCGAAGGCAGCUUACUAAACUGUGACUGACAUUGAUGCACGAAAGUGUGGGUAUCAAACAGGAUUAGAUACCCGUGUAGUC